Molecule: unclassified non-coding RNA, 346 nt
Filed under: soil metagenome
Description: partial contains 5.8S ribosomal RNA, internal transcribed spacer 2, and large subunit ribosomal RNA
Rfam family: 5.8S ribosomal RNA (bases 1-121)
Source: RNAcentral
GAUGAAGAACGUAGCGAAAUGCGAUAAGUAAUGCGAAUUGCAGAAUUUCCGUGAGUCAUCGAAUCUUUGAACGCACAUUGCGCCCACUGGUAUUCCGGUGGGCAUGCCUGUUCGAGCGUCAUUAUCCUCCCUCAAACCCCGGGUUUGGUGUUGGACCCAAGUUGUGUGAACAACUGGUCUCAAAGACAAUGACGGCGUCCGUGGGACCCUCGGUGCAACGAGCUUUUAGGAGCACGCAUCGAGUUGCAAGGACCUUCCGGGCCGGUCUCCUUUACCAUUUUACAAGGUUGACCUCGGAUCAGGUAGGAAUACCCGCUGAACUUAAGCAUAUCAAUAAGCGGGAGGA